GACGAACGCUGGCGGCGUGCUUAACACAUGCAAGUCGAACGGAAAGGCCCCUUUUGGGGUACUCGAGUGGCGAACGGGUGAGUAACACGUGAGUAACCUGCCCUUGACUUCGGGAUAACUUCAGGAAACUGGGGCUAAUACCGGAUAGGAAUCCUUGCUGCAUGGUGGGGGUUGGAAAGCUUCGGCGGUUUUGGAUGGACUCGCGGCUUAUCAGCUUGUUGGUGGGGUAGUGGCUUACCAAGGCUUUGACGGGUAGCCGGCCUGAGAGGGCGACCGGCCACAUUGGGACUGAGAUACGGCCCAGACUCCUACGGGAGGCAGCAGUGGGGAAUAUUGCACAAUGGGCGGAAGCCUGAUGCAGCAACGCCGCGUGCGGGAUGACGGCCUUCGGGUUGUGAACCGCUUUCAGCAGGGGCGAAGCUUGUGGUGACGGUACCUGCAGAAGAAGCACCGGCUAACUACGUG
This 465-nucleotide ribosomal RNA is filed under the name uncultured bacterium. RNAcentral describes it as "partial 16S ribosomal RNA". It matches the Rfam family "Bacterial small subunit ribosomal RNA", at positions 28 to 507 of the family's 1533-position model. The record is from RNAcentral.